This is an RNA transcript of Scatophagus argus, 709 nucleotides long. It is a transcript of the gene named Fc receptor, IgE, high affinity I, gamma polypeptide like, with no coding region annotated. Lineage: Eukaryota; Metazoa; Chordata; Actinopteri; Scatophagidae. The record is from RefSeq and is a predicted model, not a curated record. The transcript has 6 exons.
CCCGGACUUCCUGUCACUACUUCUCAGAGCUCAUUUCAGAGGGUUUUCAACAGACAACAAGAGAGCGAAAAGCGUACCAUCCAUCUGAACAGAAGCCUGUUUGGUAAGAUGGUGCAAUCGUUGCUCUUCGCUCUCUUUCUGGCGGUCAGUCCCACCUGCACCGAGGCCUUUGGAGUCAUGAACGGUUGUUACAUCCUGGAUGGGAUCCUCAUCCUUUACGGCGUCAUUCUCACUGUCUUGUACUGCAGACUCAGGAUCAGUCCAGCCAGCAAAAGGUCUGCCAAUCAACCUGAGAAGCAGCCCGCAGAUGGAGGCAUCUAUGCGGGUCUGACUUCGCGCAGUACUGAUACCUACGAGACCUUGAGAAUGGACAAAAAGCCCAUUGUGUGAUGGAGACGGAGGAUACCGAGCACAGUGCUGAAUCUCUUGAAGCUUUAUACUUUUUUCCUGAGGCUCAUCACAACACCGGAAGCUAACGCAUCCAGCUGUCUAUUAUGAAAACAGUGACGCAAAACAAGUUUGAAAUUCCCUAGAAAUGGCUGCAGUUGGAUGAUGAUGACAUUAGCAUUUAUUAACCUAUUAUUAUAUAUAACCUGUUAACAUUUUUCUUUACAUUGAUCAUGCUAACAUUAAAUCAUGUUAAACCUGCUGCUUUGACAAAAGCUGUUUCUUGCAACAAGACAAUAAAACUAUAUGAAUAAAGCCUUUA